This 536-nucleotide ribosomal RNA is filed under the name uncultured bacterium. Its description in RNAcentral is "bacterial SSU rRNA". It matches the Rfam family "Bacterial small subunit ribosomal RNA", at positions 771 to 1302 of the family's 1533-position model. The record is from RNAcentral.
ACCCAAUAGAUACCCAGGUAGUCCUGGCAGUAAACGGUGCGCGUUUGGUGUGGGGGGAUUCGACAAUCUCCGCGCCGGAGCUAAACGCGUUAAACGCGCCGCCUGGGAAAUACGGUCGCAAGAUUAAAACUCAAAGAAAUUGACGGGGGCCCGCACAAGCGGUGGAGUAUGUGGCUUAAUUCGAUGCAACGCGAAGAACCUUACCUGGGCUUGACAUGCAUCGCUAAGUUGGUGAAAGCCAGCGAGUCCCGCAAGGGACACUUUGCACAGGUGCUGCAUGGCUGUCGUCAGCUCGUGUCGUGAGAUGUUGGGUUAAGUCCCGCAACGAGCGCAACCCUUAUGAACUGUUGCCUUUGGCUUACCGCCGGGCUCUCUGUUCAGACCGCCCUGUGAAACGGGGAGGAAGGUGGGGAUGACGUCAAGUCAGCAUGGCCCUUACGCCCAGGGCUGCACACGUACUACAAUGCUCAGUACAGAGGGAGCCAAGCCGGCGACGGCAAGGAAAUCCCAAAAAACUGGGCUCAGUUCAGAUUGCA